AGUGAACGCUGGCGGCAGGCCUAACACAUGCAAGUCGAACGGCAGCACAGUAAGAGCGUGCCCUUACGGUUGGCGAGUGGCGGACGGGUAAGAAAUACAUCGGAAUCUACUUUUUCGGGGGGGAUAACGGAGGGAAACAUACGCUAAUACCGCAUACGACCUACGGGUGAAAGCAGGGGAUCUUCGGACUUUGCGCGACACAAUGAGCCGAUGCCGGAUUAGCUAGUUGGUGGGGUAAAGGCCCACCAAGGCGGCGAACCGUAGCUGACCUGAGAGGAUGAUCAGCCACACUGGAACUGAGACACGGUCCAGACUCCUACGGGAGGCAGCAGUGGGGAAUCUUGCACAAUGGGCGAAAGCCUGACCCAGCCACGCCGCGUGGGUGAUGAAGGUCUUCGGGUUGUAAAGCCCUUUUAUUGGGGAAGAACAGCAGUAGGUUAAUCCGCCGCUGUUCUGACGGUACCCAAAGAGUAAGCACCGGCUAACUUCGUG
This 492-nucleotide ribosomal RNA is filed under the name uncultured bacterium. RNAcentral's name for it is "partial 16S ribosomal RNA". It matches the Rfam family "Bacterial small subunit ribosomal RNA", at positions 29 to 507 of the family's 1533-position model. The record is from RNAcentral.